UACGGAGGGUGCAAGCGUUGUUCGGAAUUAUUGGGCGUAAAGGGCGCGUAGGUGGUUGUGAUAGUCAGAUGUGAAAUCCUUUGGCUUAACUGAAGAACUGCAUCUGAAACUUCAUAACUCGAGUCCUGGACAGGGUGGCGGAAUUCCCGGUGUAGGAGUGAAAUCCGUAGAUAUUAGGAGGAACACCAGUGGCGAAGGCGACUUGCUGGACUGUAACUGACGCUGAGGCACGAAAGCGUGGGGAGCAAAC
This 250-nucleotide ribosomal RNA is filed under the name uncultured bacterium. RNAcentral describes it as "partial 16S ribosomal RNA". It matches the Rfam family "Bacterial small subunit ribosomal RNA", at positions 524 to 773 of the family's 1533-position model. The record is from RNAcentral.